GGUCAAGCUACAAAGGGCGCAUGGUGAAUGCCUUGGCAUCAGGAGCCGAUGAAGGACGUGAUAAGCUGCGAUAAGCUUCGGGUAGGCGCACAUAGCCUGAGAUCCGAAGAUCUCCGAAUGAGGAAACUCACAUGGGAAACCCCAUGUAUCAUUAAGUGAAUACAUAGCUUAAUGAAGGUAACCCAGGGAACUGAAACAUCUAAGUACCUGGAGGAAGAGAAAGAAAAAUCGAUUUUCUUAGUAGCGGCGAGCGAAAGGGAAAGAGCCCAAACCGGAAACUUGUUUCCGGGGUUGUGGACAUAGCAUGAAAGUGGAGGCUAUUGUAACUGAAGAGAACUGGAAAGUUCCACCGUAGAAGGUAAUAGUCCUGUAAGUGAAACGAGAAGACCACGAGUUAUGAUCCAGAGUACCACGAGACACGUGAAACCUUGUGGGAAGCAGGGAGGACCACCUCCCAAGGCUAAAUACUACCUGAUGACCGAUAGUGAAGCAGUACCGUGAGGGAAAGGUGAAAAGAACCCCGGGAGGGGAGUGAAAUAGAACCUGAAACCGUGUGCCUACAACCGCUCAGAGCCCCUUAUGAGGGUGAUGAGGUGCUUUUUGUAGAACGAGCCAACGAGUUACGGUAUGUAGCAAGGUUAAGUACUUAAGGUACGGAGCCGAAGGGAAACCGAGUCUGAAUAGGGCGACUAGUUGCAUGCCGUAGACCCGAAACCGGGUGACCUAUCCAUGGCCAGGUUGAAGCGAGGGUAAAACCUUGUGGAGGACCGAACCACGUUGCUGUUGAAAAAGCAUGGGAUGAGCUGUGGAUAGCGGAGAAAUUCCAAUCGAACCCGGAGAUAGCUGGUUCUCUCCGAAAUAGCUUUAGGGCUAGCGUCGAGUAUGAGUAGUGGAGGUAGAGCACUGAAUGGGCUAGGGGGCAUAGCGCUUACCGAACCUUAUCAAACUCCGAAUGCCACAUACUUUGAGCUCGGCAGUCAGACUACGAAUGAUAAGAUCCGUGGUCAAAAGGGAAACAGCCCAGAUCGUCAGCUAAGGUCCCAAAGUGUAAGUUAAGUGGGAAAGGAUGUGAGAUUUCUAAGACAACUAGGAUGUUGGCUUAGAAGCAGCCAUUCAUUAAAAGAGUGCGUAAUAGCUCACUAGUCGAGAGAUCUUGCGCCGAAAAUGUAACGGGGCUAAACUUACCACCGAAGCUACGGGCUUGAACUUAGUUCAAGCGGUAGGAGAGCGUCGUAACCGGGCUGAAGUCGUACCGUAAGGAGCGGUGGACUGGUUACGAGUGAGAAUGUUGGCAUCAGUAGCGAGAUGUGGGUGAGAAUCCCACAGGCCGAAAACCUAAGGUUUCCUCAGGAAGGUUCGUCCGCUGAGGGUUAGUCGGGACCUAAGCCGAGGCCGAAAGGCGUAGGUGAUGGACAACUGGUUGAUAUUCCAGUACCACUACCAUCGUUAUUAUCGAUGGCGUGACGCAGGAGGAUAGUGUGUGCUAGCUAUUGGAUGCUAGUCUAAGCGUUUAGGCAGUGAGAGUAGGCAAAUCCGCUCUCAUAAUGCUGAGGCGUGAUGGGGAAGGUUCCACGGAACCGAAGUAUAUGAUUCCACGCUGCCAAGAAAAGCGUCUAGAGAGAGAAGUAGUGCCCGUACCGCAAACCGACACAGGUAGGUGAGGAGAGAAUCCUAAGGCCGGCGGAAGAAUUACAGUUAAGGAACUCGGCAAAUUGACCCCGUAAGUUCGCGAGAAGGGGUGCCUACGAGAGUAGGCCGCAGAGAAUAGGCCCAAGCAACUGUUUAGCAAAAACACAGGUCUCUGCUAAAGCGUAAGCUGAUGUAUAGGGGCUGACGCCUGCCCGGUGCUGGAAGGUUAAGGGGAACACUUAGCGCAAGCGAAGGUGUGAACUUAAGCCCCAGUAAACGGCGGCCGUAACUAUAACGGUCCUAAGGUAGCGAAAUUCCUUGUCAGGUAAGUUCUGACCCGCACGAAUGGCGUAAUGACUUGGGCACUGUCUCAACUGUAAAUCCGGCGAAGUUGUAGUGCGAGUGAAGAUGCUCGCUACCCGCGAUUGGACGGAAAGACCCCGUAGAGCUUUACUGUAGCUUAGCAUUGAGUUUUGGUAUUGUCUGUACAGGAUAGGUGGGAGACUAGGAAACCAGGGCGUCAGCCUUGGUGGAGUCAACCUUGGGAUACCACCCUGACAGUACUGAAAUUCUAACUGGCGGCCAUGAAUCUGGUCACAGGACAUUGUUAGGUGGGCAGUUUGACUGGGGCGGUCGCCUCCUAAAAAGUAACGGAGGCGCCCAAAGGUUCCCUCAGAACGGUCGGAAAUCGUUCGAAGAGUGCAAAGGCAGAAGGGAGCCUGACUGCGACACCCACAAGUGGAGCAGGGACGAAAGUCGGGCUUAGUGAUCCGGUGGUACCUCGUGGGAGGGCCAUCGCUCAACGGAUAAAAGCUACCUCGGGGAUAACAGGCUGAUCUCCCCCAAGAGUCCACAUCGACGGGGAGGUUUGGCACCUCGAUGUCGGCUCGUCGCAUCCUGGGGCUGAAGUAGGUCCCAAGGGUUGGGCUGUUCGCCCAUUAAAGCGGCACGCGAGCUGGGUUCAGAACGUCGUGAGACAGUUCGGUCCCUAUCCGUCGCGGGCGUAGGAAAUUUGAGAGGAGCUGUCCUUAGUACGAGAGGACCGGGAUGGACUGACCUCUGGUGUACCAGUUGUUCCGCCAGGAGCACAGCUGGGUAGCUAAGUCGGGAAUGGAUAAACGCUGAAAGCAUCUAAGCGUGAAGCCAACCUCAAGAUGAGAUUUCCCAUAGCGUAAGCUAGUAAGAUCCCUUGAAGAACACAAGGUUGAUAGGUCGGGGGUGUAAGCAUGGUAACAUGUUCAGCUGACCGAUACUAAUAGAUCGAGGGCUUGACCAAAUA
This 2908-nucleotide ribosomal RNA is filed under the name Clostridium perfringens. Its description in RNAcentral is "bacterial LSU rRNA". It matches the Rfam family "Bacterial large subunit ribosomal RNA". Lineage: Bacteria; Bacillati; Bacillota; Clostridia; Eubacteriales; Clostridiaceae. The record is from RNAcentral.